This 228-nucleotide unclassified non-coding RNA is filed under the name uncultured fungus. Its description in RNAcentral is "partial contains 18S rRNA, ITS1 and 5.8S rRNA". The record is from RNAcentral. Lineage: Eukaryota; Fungi.
AGGUGAACCUGCGGAAGGAUCAUUACAGUAGUCACCCAGGUUGCCGCAAGGCCUCCUGGGUAACCUACCACCCUUUGUUUAUUACACUUUGUUGCUUUGGCAAGCCUGCCCUCGGGCUGCUGGCUCCGGCCGGCGAGCGCUUGCCAGAGGACCUAAACUCUGUUUGUCUAUACUGUCUGAGUACUAUAUAAUAGUUAAAACUUUCAACAACGGAUCUCUUGGUUCUGG